AUCGACAAGCCGCGAUCAACAGGACAAGUGUCAAAACCGCGGACGUGUACAAACCGCUUACCAUCAUCGUGGUCGUUAUGAGGUUUUGCGUGGAAUACUUAAGAAGAUUUAGCUGAUAACUAUAAUACAUAUACAUAAAUUAUUAGAUUUACCGAAGCAAGCUUUUACGUUUAAUCACGUAAUAUAUAUUUUGAGUGAUUACCAUCAACAGAUUACUUGAGACAAAUCGUACGGUUUCGGAACGGAAGUUGUCAACCCUAAUCGUCAAAAGUAUUUAGUUUUCAACAGUUGGGUUUCGGUGAACGUCUGACCAUUGCACAGCAUAAUUAUGUUUAAAACACACGUUGGAUCCGAUAAGUGUCCAGUUAAAGUGCACUCUACGAAUUUAAUCAUGAUGGAUGAGGUCACACAGGUUUAUCAGCUAUUGUAAUUGUAUAAUAUUCAUUACAUUUACAUUGGUUAAUAGCGGAAUUAAAAACCAAGAUAUUGAAUACACUCGUCGAUACAGAUAUAACAAAACAUAUUAUAUAGUUCGUCGAUUAUGCGUCCCGGACACUGGUAAACGAUUUUUUUCCUACCUUUUCUGUAUUCCGAUUGCGUCUUAUUAUACAGUAGCAAUAGUAGAUAAGCGUAAAUUGACAUGAUAAAUCUAAUAUAUGUCACAUAUGAUGUAAAUAUAUGAAAAUAUUAGCCACAUGGAUUUUGUGAAAGCUUUCAUUCAAAAUUCAACUCUUUUUUCUAUACAUCACAUCCGAAUAUUCAUCAAUUUCUAAAAAAUCAAAUGUCUUAAAUCAAUGUCAGAUAGAUACACAUAUAAAAAUAACGUCUAGUCAUAAAUGUAUAUCUGUAAGAUGAAGAGUAAAGUAUACAAAAAAAAACAAGAAUUUAUUGAUGAACAAAUAAACAACUUAAAAAAUAAAAUUACAUAUUUUAUCUUCUUUACAUUAUCUUAAAACUAUUUCACUUAAAAAACCUUUUUUUUUUUUAAAUGACGUAUUCGCUAAGUACAUAAAUGUAUUAUUUAAAUUAUUAAAUUUAUUAUAUUUGGAUUGAUUUUUGUAUAACUAUUAUUUUUUAUAACAUUAAUGACUGGCUAGAAAUGUAUUUUUUGAGUUCUUUAAUAAUUAGAAAAUUAAAAUACAAAAAAAGUGUAUAUUUUCCACUUCAAAGAAAAUAUAUAUAAAUUGUAUUAAAUAGGUUUUCGGUUUUUUGCCAUUAUUUUGUAAUAAUUUACGUUAUACAUUAAAUACCUAAAAUGUUGUGUUAAAUCAAAAUUAUAUAAUACAUCGUAGUUUAUUAUAAAGUAUUAUACAACCCAUAUAAUUAACUGUAAAGUAAUAAUGAGUUAACAUUAUAAUUCAUGAUGGUAUUUAGCAUUACCUAAAAUUGGUUAGAGUCAAAAAAUCAAAAUAUCUGUACCCAACCGAAACAAAUAUAAAUAUAUGUUAAAAUGUAAUUUUUUAUAUCAAUAAUAAUUUGUAUUUGAUAACAACAUAGUCCAAAUUCGGUAUCACAAUAAAAUAAUAAUUAUUUUAUAUAUGACUUAAAAAUGAGAGUAUCUACAAUAUUGCCAUGGCCUUUCCAAGAGAAUCGUAUCUAUUAGUUUAGUCUCUGAACUUGAAUGUGUUUAAUAUAUUGAUUAAAAUAUAUAUAUUUUCUA
Long non-coding RNA from Aphis gossypii (cotton aphid), 1660 nucleotides. RefSeq lists it as uncharacterized. The transcript has 4 exons. The record is from RefSeq and is a predicted model, not a curated record. NCBI's taxonomy places the organism in Eukaryota, Metazoa, Arthropoda, Insecta, Hemiptera, Aphididae.